GAUGAACGCUAGCGGCAGGCCUAAUACAUGCAAGUCGAGGGGCAGCGGGGUAGCAAUACUGCCGGCGACCGGCGCACGGGUGCGUAACACGUAUGCAACCUACCUUAAACUGGGGGAUAGCCCGGGGAAACUCGGAUUAAUACCCCAUAAUACAUUUGGAACACAUGUUUUGAUUGUUAAAGAUUUAUCGGUUUAAGAUGGGCAUGCGUUCGAUUAGCUAGUUGGC
Molecule: ribosomal RNA, 226 nt
Filed under: uncultured bacterium
Lineage: Bacteria
Description: partial 16S ribosomal RNA
Rfam family: Bacterial small subunit ribosomal RNA
Source: RNAcentral